GAAAUAUUAGAGAGUCACAUCUACAGACUACUGUUGGUCAUCUUUGGGCAUCAUCAACCACAAUUUACCUUUUCUUUUUUUUGCUUUAUUCCUCUCAUAGUCAAUAAUAAUUUGAAAAUUUUGAAGUUCCUAUAAGUCUAAACAUUUUCAUACUUUUAUUUAGUAAAAAAAUAAUAAUUUUUAAUGUAUUUCAAAUGCCAAAUUUGCAAUCAAAUAAUGG
RNAcentral lists this unclassified non-coding RNA (220 nucleotides) under Hevea brasiliensis (rubber tree). The record is from RNAcentral. Lineage: Eukaryota; Viridiplantae; Streptophyta; Magnoliopsida; Malpighiales; Euphorbiaceae.